UUUCCCACAGCAAAUGUGGAGGAGAUAUCAUGUUGAGUUGAUGGAGAUGAAAGAUCAAAACAGCCUGCACCUCUGGUCAUCUCAUGGAAUUGUUUACUUUGGAGAAUCUCUAGACCCACCGCAGACUUGAUUGUUAAGAAACAGAGCGAUGGCAUUCAACUGGAUGUCUCUACUGUGCCUUUCAGCUUAAAGCCACGUGAGGAUCCAGUGAGAAGUCUGGGGCCUGGAAGAGGGCCUUCACCUGACCAUGCUGACGCCUUGAUCUCAGACUUUCAGUCUCU
Molecule: non-coding RNA, 281 nt
Organism: Vicugna pacos (alpaca)
Lineage: Eukaryota; Metazoa; Chordata; Mammalia; Artiodactyla; Camelidae
Source: RefSeq, a predicted model, not a curated record